CGUACACUCCGCGGGAGGCAGCAGUGGGGAAUAUUGGACAAUGGGCGCAAGCCUGAUCCAGCCAUGCCGCGUGAGUGAUGAAGGCCCUAGGGUUGUAAAGCUCUUUCACCGGUGAAGAUAAUGACGGUAACCGGAGAAGAAGCCCCGGCUCACUUCGUGCCAGCAGCCGCGGUAAUACGAAGGGGGCUAGCGUUGUUCGGAUUUACUGGGCGUAAAGCGCACGUAGGCGGACUAUUAAGUCAGGGGUGAAAUCCCGGGGCUCAACCCCGGAACUGCCUUUGAUACUGGUAGUCUUGAGUUCGAGAGAGGUGAGUGGAAUUCCGAGUGUAGAGGUGAAAUUCGUAGAUAUUCGGAGGAACGCCAGUGGCGAAGGCGGCUCACGGGCUCGAUACUGACGCUGGGGUGCGAAAGCGUGGGGAGCAAACAGGAUUAGAUACCCUGGUAGUCC
RNAcentral lists this ribosomal RNA (448 nucleotides) under uncultured organism. Its description in RNAcentral is "partial 16S ribosomal RNA". It matches the Rfam family "Bacterial small subunit ribosomal RNA", at positions 330 to 796 of the family's 1533-position model. The record is from RNAcentral.